Molecule: ribosomal RNA, 253 nt
Filed under: uncultured bacterium
Lineage: Bacteria
Description: partial 16S ribosomal RNA
Rfam family: Bacterial small subunit ribosomal RNA
Source: RNAcentral
UACAGAGGGGGCAAGCGUUAUUCGGAAUUAUUGGGCGUAAAGGGCGCGUAGGCGGCUUGGCAAGUGGAAGGUGAAAUCCCUCGGCUUAACCGAGGAACUGCCCUCCAAACUGCUUCGCUUGAGACCGGGAAAGGUGAGUGGAAUUCCCAGUGUAGCGGUGAAAUGCGUAGAUAUUGGGAGGAACACCAGUGGCGAAGGCGGCUCACUGGACCGGUACUGACGCUGAUGCGCGAAAGCGUGGGGAGCAAACGGG